UACGGGGGGAGCAAGCGUUGUUCGGAUUUACUGGGCGUAAAGGGCGCGUAGGCGGUCGUGACAAGUCACUUGUGAAAUCUCCGGGCUUAACUCGGAACGGUCAAGUGAUACUGUCGGACUAGAGUACAGAAGGGGCAACUGGAAUUCUCGGGUGUAGCGGUGAAAUGCGUAGAUAUCGAGAGGAACACCUGCGGCGAAGGCGGGUUGCUGGGCCGAUACUGACGCUGAGGAGCGAAAGCGUGGGGAGCGAACAGG
This 255-nucleotide ribosomal RNA is filed under the name uncultured bacterium. Its description in RNAcentral is "partial 16S ribosomal RNA". It matches the Rfam family "Bacterial small subunit ribosomal RNA", at positions 524 to 776 of the family's 1533-position model. The record is from RNAcentral.